CCUACGGGAGGCAGCAGUGAGGAAUAUUGGUCAAUGGGCGCGAGCCUGAACCAGCCAAGUAGCGUGAAGGAUGACUGCCCUACGGGUUGUAAACUUCUUUUAUAAAGGAAUAAAGUGAGGCACGUGUGCCUUUUUGUAUGUACUUUCUGAAUAAGGAUCGGCUAACUCCGUGCCAGCAGCCGAGGUAAUACGGAGGACACGAGCGUUAUACGGAUGUAUUGGGUUUAAAGGGAGCGUAGAUGGGAUGUCAAGUCAGUUGUGAAAGUGUGCGGCUCAACCGUAAAAUUGCACUUGAUACUGGCAGUCUUGAGUGCAGUUGAGGUAGGCGGAAUUCGUGGUGUAGCGGUGAAAUGCUUAGAUAUCACGAAGAACACCGAUUGCGAAGGCAGCUUACUAGACUGCCACUGACAUUGAUGCUCGAAAGUGUGGGUAUCAAACAGGAUUAGAUACCCGAGUAGUC
RNAcentral lists this ribosomal RNA (460 nucleotides) under uncultured bacterium. Its description in RNAcentral is "partial 16S ribosomal RNA". It matches the Rfam family "Bacterial small subunit ribosomal RNA", at positions 338 to 795 of the family's 1533-position model. The record is from RNAcentral.